This 492-nucleotide ribosomal RNA is filed under the name uncultured bacterium. RNAcentral describes it as "partial 16S ribosomal RNA". It matches the Rfam family "Bacterial small subunit ribosomal RNA", at positions 29 to 507 of the family's 1533-position model. The record is from RNAcentral.
AGUGAACGCUGGCGGUAGGCCUAACACAUGCAAGUCGAACGGCAGCACAGUAAGAGCUUGCUCUUACGGGUGGCGAGUGGCGGACGGGUGAGGAAUACAUCGGAAUCUACUUUUUCGUGGGGGAUAACGUAGGGAAACUUACGCUAAUACCGCAUACGACCUACGGGUGAAAGCAGGGGAUCUUCGGACCUUGCGCGAUUGAAUGAGCCGAUGUCGGAUUAGCUAGUUGGCGGGGUAAAGGCCCACCAAGGCGACGAUCCGUAGCUGGUCUGAGAGGAUGAUCAGCCACACUGGAACUGAGACACGGUCCAGACUCCUACGGGAGGCAGCAGUGGGGAAUAUUUGACAAUGGGCGCAAGCCUGAUCCAGCCAUACCGCGUGGGUGAAGAAGGCCCUCGGGUUGUAAAGCCCUUUUGUUGGGAAAGAAAAGCAGCAGGUUAAUACCCCGCUGUUCUGACGGUACCCAAAGAAUAAGCACCGGCUAACUUCGUG